AGAGUUUGAUCCUGGCUCAGAACGAACGUUGGCGGCGUGGAUUAGGCAUGCAAGUCGAACGAAUCCCAGUUGGGCAACUGACUGGGGGAAGUGGCGAAAGGGGCAGUAAGGCGUGGGUAACCUACCCCAGAGUUCGGGAUAGCCAUCCUAACGGAUGGGUAAUACCGGGCGACGUGCCGAGGGGGCAUCUCCUUGGCAUCAUAGAUCCGUCGCUCUGGGAGGGGCUCACGUGGUAUUAGCUUGUUGGCGGGGUAACGGCCCACCAAGGCCAAGAUGCCUAGCAGGUGUGAGAGCACGACCUGCGCCACUGGCACUGUGACACUGGCCAGACUCCUACGGGAGGCUGCAGUCGAGGAUCUUCGGCAAUGGGCGCAAGCCUGACCGAGCGACGCCGCGUGCGCGAUGAAGGCCUUCGGGUUGUAAAGCGCUGUCGAGAGGGAGGAAGGCCCGCAAGGGCUUGACCUAUCUCUGGAGGAAGCACGGGCUAAGUUCGUGCCAGCAGCCGCGGUAAGACGAACCGUGCAAACGUUGUUCGGAUUCACUGGGCUUAAAGGGCGCGUAGGCGGGCGACAGGGUCGGUAGUGAAAUCCUCCCGCUCAACGGGAGAAGGGCUGCCGAAACCGGUUGUCUCGAGUGAGGUAGGGGCGUGUGGAACUUCCGGUGGAGCGGUGAAAUGCGUAGAUAUCGGAAGGAACGCCGGUGGCGAAAGCGGCACGCUGGACCUCUUCUGACGCUGAGGCGCGAAAGCCAGGGGAGCAAACGGGAUUAGAUACCCCGGUAGUCCUGGCCCUAAACGAUGGGUACUAGGUAGUGGACUAGCAUGGGUUCACUGCCGAAGCAAAAGUGGUAAGUACCCCGCCUGGGGAGUAUGGUCGCAAGGCUGAAACUCAAAGGAAUUGACGGGGCUCAC
This 910-nucleotide ribosomal RNA is filed under the name uncultured bacterium. Its description in RNAcentral is "bacterial SSU rRNA". It matches the Rfam family "Bacterial small subunit ribosomal RNA", at positions 8 to 924 of the family's 1533-position model. The record is from RNAcentral.